This 590-nucleotide long non-coding RNA is filed under the name Homo sapiens (human). Its description in RNAcentral is "non-protein coding lnc-JUND-1:3". Lineage: Eukaryota; Metazoa; Chordata; Mammalia; Primates; Hominidae. The record is from RNAcentral.
AGACUGCUAGGUUUAGCUUCAGGGGCAGCCCAGGGCAGUGUUGCUGCAUAUUGCAUGGAUGAAAGGCUGAAGGCUGCCUCCUCUUGCAGGCUGGCUUCUGAGAUUGCACCUUCUUCUCCUGCUACUCCUCCAAAUCUAUGACCCUUCAAGGACCUGCUACACCCUGACCACCCCCUGCCGCCCCCACAGGCAGAGCUGACCUGUCCGGUAAUCAAGGCAAUGCAGCCGGCCGCCUAGCUACAGUUCACGAGCCAGUUGUCACCCAGUGGGCGGUGCAUCCUCCAGCCCCCGCUCACCCCAGUCUCCUGGACAAAAUGGAGAAAGCGCCUCCACAGCCCCAGCACGAGGGCCUCAAGUCCAAGGAGCAUCUUCCGCAACAGCCUGCCGAAGGCAAGACGGCGUCCCGCCGCGUCCCACGCCUCCGGGCUGUGGUCGAGAGCCAGGCCUUCAAGAACAUCCUGGUAGACGAGAUGGACAUGAUGCACGCCCGUGCAGCCACGCUCAUCCAAGCCAACUGGAGGGGCUAUUGGCUCCGGCAGAAGCUGAUUUCCCAGAUGAUGGCGGCCAAGGCCAUCCAGGAGGCCUGGCGG